RNAcentral lists this ribosomal RNA (118 nucleotides) under Pteropus alecto (black flying fox). The record is from RNAcentral. Lineage: Eukaryota; Metazoa; Chordata; Mammalia; Chiroptera; Pteropodidae.
GUCUACGGCCAUGCCACCCUGAACUGCCCCAUCCUGUCUGAUCUUGGAAGCUAAGCAGGGUCGGGCCAGGUUAGUACUUGGAUGGGAGACCACCUAGGAAGAACAGGUGCUGUAGGUA